UAGUGGCGGACGGGUGAGUAACGCGUGAGAAUCUGCCCUCAGGAGGGGGAUAACGGCUGGAAACGGCCGCUAAUACCCCAUAUGCCGAGAGGUGAAAUGAAUUUCGCCUGAGGAUGAGCUCGCGUCUGAUUAGCUAGUUGGUGUGGUAAAGGCUCACCAAGGCUUCGAUCAGUAGCUGGUCUGAGAGGAUGAUCAGCCACACUGGGACUGAGACACGGCCCAGANUCCUACGGGAGGCAGCAGUGGGGAAUUUUCCGCAAUGGGCGCAAACCUGACGCAGCAACGCCGCGUGAGGGAUGAAGGCGUCUGGGCUGUAAACCUCUUUUAUCAAGGAAGAAGAUCUGACGGUACUUGAUGAAUAAGCCACGGCUA
This 372-nucleotide ribosomal RNA is filed under the name uncultured bacterium. Its description in RNAcentral is "bacterial SSU rRNA". It matches the Rfam family "Bacterial small subunit ribosomal RNA", at positions 93 to 499 of the family's 1533-position model. The record is from RNAcentral.